GAUGAAGAACGUAGCGAAAUGCGAUAAGUAAUGUGAAUUGCAGAAUUCAGUGAAUCAUCGAAUCUUUGAACGCACAUUGCGCCCGCCAGUAUUCUGGCGAGCAUGCCUGUUCGAGCGUCAUUUCAACCAUCAAGCCCCAGGCUUGUGUUGGAGCCCUGCGGCUGCCGCAGCCUCCCAAAACCAGUGGCGGGCUCGCUAUCACACCGAGUGCAGUAGUUUACUCUUCGCUCAGGGCGUGUGGCGGGUGCUAGCCGUGAAACCCCCAACUUCUCAAGGUUGACCUCGGAUCAGGUAGGAAUACCCGCUCAACUUAAGCAUAUCAAUAAGCGGAGGA
RNAcentral lists this unclassified non-coding RNA (334 nucleotides) under soil metagenome. RNAcentral describes it as "partial contains 5.8S ribosomal RNA, internal transcribed spacer 2, and large subunit ribosomal RNA". The stretch from base 1 to 120 matches the Rfam family "5.8S ribosomal RNA", at positions 35 to 154 of the family's 154-position model. The record is from RNAcentral.